GGCGAACGGGUGAGUAAUAUAUCGGAACAUGUCCAUUCCGUGGGGGAUAGCCCGGCGAAAGCCGGAUUAAUACCGCAUACGCCCUGAGGGGGAAAGCGGGGGACUUCGCAAGAGGCCUCGCGCGAAUGGGUUGGCCGAUGUCCGAUUAGCUAGUUGGUGGGGUAAAGGCUUACCAAGGCGAUGAUCGGUAGCUGGUCUGAGAGGAUGAUCAGCCACACUGGGACUGAGACACGGCCCAGACUCCAAUACGGGAGGCAGCAGUGGGGAAUAUUGGGCAAUGGGCGAAAGCCUGACCCAGCCACGCCGCGUGAGUGAUGAAGGCCUUCGGGUCGUAAAGCUCUGUGGGGAGGGACGAAUAAGUGCCGUGCUAACAUCACGGCGCCCUGACGGUACCUCCUUAGCAAGCACCGGCUAACCAUGUGCCAGCCGCCGCGG
This 435-nucleotide ribosomal RNA is filed under the name uncultured bacterium. Its description in RNAcentral is "bacterial SSU rRNA". It matches the Rfam family "Bacterial small subunit ribosomal RNA", at positions 97 to 520 of the family's 1533-position model. The record is from RNAcentral.